ACUAACCAGGAUUCCCCUAGUAACGGCGAGUGAACCGGGAAAAGCCCAACUUGAAAAUCUCCAGCCUUCGGCUGGCGAAUUGUAGUCUAUAGAGGCGUCCUCUGUGGCGAACAGGUCCCAAGUGCCUUGGAAAGGGACGUCAGCAGAGGGUGAGAACCCCGUCGGGCCGGUGCAGGUCACUUCACGAGGCGCUUUCGCAGAGUCGGGUUGUUUGGGAAUGCAGCCCUAAGCAGGUGGUAAAUCCCAUCUAAGGCUAAAUACUGGCGGGAGACCGAUAGCGAACAAGUACCGUGAGGGAAAGAUGAAAAGAACUUUGAAAAGAGAGUUAAACAGUACUUGAAAUUGUUGAGAGGGAAGAGAUUGGAAGUCGCGGGUGCGCCCAGGCUUAUGCACGCCUCACCGCGUGCUGUAUGUGCUGGGCGCUGGUCAGCAUCGAUUGGCAGGCUCGGAGAAAAGCGGAGGUUGAUACUCCGUCUAUGCGAGCUCCGCCGAUCGAGGUCUCAAGCGCGCGCUUUGGGUCCUUCGGAAACUGCGCGCUCAGGAUGCUGGCGGAAGGCUUCCAAUCUACCCGUCUUGAAACACGGACCAAGGAGUCUAACAUGUAUGCGAGUUGGUGGGUGAUAAACCCAUGAAGCGCAAGUAACCUGACUGGUGGGAGGGCCCUGUGCCCGCACCAUCGACCGACCAUGAUCUUCUGUGAAAGGUUUGAGUACGAGCAUACCUGUUGGGACCCGAAAGAUGGUGAACUAUGCCUGAGCAGGGCGAAGCCAGAGGAAACUCUGGUGGAGGCUCGUAGAUGUGCUGACGUGCAAAUCGCUU
Molecule: ribosomal RNA, 819 nt
Filed under: Pseudochlorella pringsheimii
Lineage: Eukaryota; Viridiplantae; Chlorophyta; Trebouxiophyceae; Chlorellales; Chlorellaceae
Description: eukaryotic LSU rRNA
Rfam family: Eukaryotic large subunit ribosomal RNA
Source: RNAcentral